This 327-nucleotide long non-coding RNA is filed under the name Selaginella moellendorffii. Its description in RNAcentral is "long non-coding RNA (SMOE_LNC002335)". Lineage: Eukaryota; Viridiplantae; Streptophyta; Lycopodiopsida; Selaginellales; Selaginellaceae. The record is from RNAcentral.
CUGGGCUAUGGCGGAUUGCUCUGGCGCCUGGAGCAACCUUGUUUCUGGCCUCGAUCUGCCAGACGAAGGAGCACAUAGAGGUCAGAAUCUCUACCCGGCUUGGCAGCAGUCGAUGAUCCAGCGGCAUGAGGUGAGAUUGGGAGGUGAAGGAGGGGCGAUGGGAGGAAAUUCUUGUGGCGGAGCGGGAUGCCCCAGGAGAAGUAAGCUCUUGCCGUGGCGAUGACAAAGAGGAAGCGUGACGAGCUUUUGAAGACCAAGAGCGUGGCGUUCGGGGCUCCAGUUCUAAGGAUAAUUGGAGCACCACAGCCGAAAACGAUGGUGGCAGAG